This 253-nucleotide ribosomal RNA is filed under the name uncultured bacterium. RNAcentral describes it as "partial 16S ribosomal RNA". It matches the Rfam family "Bacterial small subunit ribosomal RNA", at positions 524 to 776 of the family's 1533-position model. The record is from RNAcentral.
UACGUAGGGUCCGAGCGUUGUCCGGAAUCAUUGGGCGUAAAGAGCGUGUAGGCGGCUUGUUAAGUCUUGCGUGAAAUCUCGGGGCUCAACCCCGAGCGGUCGUGAGAAACUGGCAGGCUAGAGUGCGGGAGAGGAGAGUGGAAUUCCUGGUGUAGCGGUGAAAUGCGCAGAUAUCAGGAAGAACACCCGUGGCGAAGGCGGCUCUCUGGAACGCAACUGACGCUGAGACGCGAAAGCGUGGGGAGCAAACAGG